Molecule: ribosomal RNA, 447 nt
Filed under: uncultured bacterium
Lineage: Bacteria
Description: partial 16S ribosomal RNA
Rfam family: Bacterial small subunit ribosomal RNA
Source: RNAcentral
AGCGAACGCUGGCGGCAGGCUUAACACAUGCAAGUCGAACGCCCCGCAAGGGGAGUGGCAGACGGGUGAGUAACACGUGGGAACGUACCCUCUGGUUCGGAAUAACUUGGGGAAACUCAAGCUAAUACCGGAUAAGCCCUUAUGGGGAAGGGUUUACUGCCGAAGGAUCGGCCCGCGUCUGAUUAGCUAGUUGGUGAGGUAAUGGCUCACCAAUGCGACGAUCAGUAGCUGGUCUGAGAGGAUGAUCAGCCACACUGGGACUGAGACACGGCCCAGACUCCUACGGGAGGCAGCAGUGGGGAAUAGUGGACAAUGGGGGCAACCCUGAUCCAGCCAUGCCGCGUGAGUGAUGAGGGCCUUAGGGUUGUAAAGCUCUUUUACCCGGGACGAUAAUGACUGUACCGGGAGAAUAAGCCCCGGCUAACUUCGUGCCAGCAGCCGCGGUAA